This 497-nucleotide ribosomal RNA is filed under the name uncultured bacterium. RNAcentral's name for it is "partial 16S ribosomal RNA". It matches the Rfam family "Bacterial small subunit ribosomal RNA", at positions 28 to 507 of the family's 1533-position model. The record is from RNAcentral.
GAUGAACGCUGGCGGCGUGCCUAAUACAUGCAAGUAGAACGCUGAAGGAAGGAGCUUGCUCUUUCCGGAUGAGUUGCGAACGGGUGAGUAACGCGUAGGUAACCUGCCUGGUAGCGGGGGAUAACUAUUGGAAACGAUAGCUAAUACCGCAUAACAGUAGAUGUUGCAUGAUAUCUACUUAAAAGGUGCAAUUGCACCGCUACCAGAUGGACCUGCGUUGUAUUAGCUAGUUGGUGAGGUAACGGCUCACCAAGGCGACGAUACAUAGCCGACCUGAGAGGGUGAUCGGCCACACUGGGACUGAGACACGGCCCAGACUCCUACGGGAGGCAGCAGUAGGGAAUCUUCGGCAAUGGACGGAAGUCUGACCGAGCAACGCCGCGUGAGUGAAGAAGGUUUUCGGAUCGUAAAGCUCUGUUGUAAGAGAAGAACGAGUGUGAGAGUGGAAAGUUCACACUGUGACGGUAUCUUACCAGAAAGGGACGGCUAACUACGUG